GACAGAGGUGCCGAGCGUUAGGCGGAAUCACUGGGCUUAAAGCGUGUGUAGGCGGGCGGCCAAGUACCUUGUGAAAUCCCACGGCUCAACCGUGGAACUGCUGGGUAUACUGGUCGUCUUGAGCCAAUCAGGGGCGAGCGGAACAGACGGUGGAGCGGUGAAAUGCGUAGAUAUCGGGAGGAACACCGGUGGCGAAGGCGGUUCUCUGGGCCUGUACUGACGCUGAGGAGCGAAAGCGUGGGGAGCGAACAGG
This 253-nucleotide ribosomal RNA is filed under the name uncultured bacterium. Its description in RNAcentral is "partial 16S ribosomal RNA". It matches the Rfam family "Bacterial small subunit ribosomal RNA", at positions 524 to 776 of the family's 1533-position model. The record is from RNAcentral.